GUGGGCGUCCAUUUGGGCCUUGGGAUGUGCAUCUCGUCAGUGGGUGGCAGGCCUAUGCAGAGAAAUACAGCCCGCGAUACGCCUAGGGAGUGUGUAGGCGUAUUCUGUGCGGCCCAUCGACCGCGACUGCCCCCCGCCACAGCACAGGAAGGAGAAUCUCGUCGUCCCCUAUCCCAAAACUUUACCCCGUGGAGAAGCCCCAGUCCUCUCUGCCCUCUUCUCUUUCCCCCCGGGCGACGGCGGCGGGGUGCUAUCCGGCGAGAUGUCCACCAACGGCGGCGACUGCGCCGGGUUCAGGCUCUCCGGAGCACUCGUCCUCCUCCACUCCGGCGACCAAAUCACCCGGAUCCCGCGUCAUCUUCCACUCCAGCGGCGACUCAACUCAAGUUUGCAGAACACCGGAUCUGCCCAGGGCAAGGCCCUCGUCCACGAAUGUGGCCGGGAAAAAUCAUUUUCUUCAUUUUUUUGUUUGUUUCGUUGACCACUUUCCCAGGAGUCACAGACUUGAGCAACGUUGAUGGUCAAGUGUGUCGUGGCGGCGAGGCCACAUCCCUUGUCAGAAACGCUGGUUGCGGAGCUACAAGUGGCUGGACCAGAAGGUGUUUCAGAUUAAAAUUUCCUCAUCCAAAAAACCAUUAAUUCUGAACAUAGUAUGUGUCGGCCUUGUUCUUGGUUAGAUUUUGAAUACACCCACAUUUCUUGGUUAGCUUAAGUUUUUUUAUAUGUGAUCUACCAGAUUCUCAAUGGUCUGAUGAUGAAUUAUCAUUCAUGUCAUCAAGUUUGAAGAUUCUUUGUAAAUGAUGUAUAUUUCUAGAUCAUACACUCCUGUUGAAUAUGAAUAGGUAAUUUGUGAGGCAUUGGGGUGAUCAUUUCGUUCUUGCAUGCCAGCCUGUUAAAAUUCACAUUUCUGCGAGCAGUUGACACCGCCAUGAGUGUAAAUGAUUUCAUGUCAUGUUUAAUCUAUGGAAGUGUUUAUGACACCGCCAUGAGUGUGAGCUUUUAUGCAUUGGUGUCUCUUAGUUAGGUAAGGCAAAUGUUAACAGGAAGAAUGCGCUGGAAUUGUCAAUGAGACCAAUAUGUCGAGAAGGGAGAUGACCCAGUAGUCUAAUGAUUUCUGUAACGGAUUGUUUGAAUCAUCUUCAAACUUCACUUGCAUCUAUUUUUGUUUCUCUAUGUGACUAUUACUUUUGUAACUGUUUGUUUAUUUUUUUGGGUACAUUGCUGACCCAAUUGUUCAGGAUUAGGAUCGGCAAUGCUCCUGAGGAGAGGGAGAUGAACCCCAACAGGAAAACAUCGCUACAAUUGUCUGUGCGUGCUUAUGGAGAGAAGGGUGUAUCAACCGUGGUGUUGUUGGACACCAGAACUGUCUUUUAUGCCCUUCCCUGAAUUGUUGUUUGUUGUACUUUGUUAAAUCAUAGGGCUGUUAUGUAAAAUGCAUGUUAAAUCUUGGGGCUGUUACUUUUAGUUUACAUAACUGCUAGUUCGAAACUGUGGCAUUGAUAUCAUGCCACUACUUAGCUUUGGUAUGCAGAAACUGAAUUCAAAUGUUGUUGUGGCUGCUGUUAACUACA
RNA transcript from Triticum aestivum (bread wheat), 1571 nucleotides. RefSeq lists it as uncharacterized. The record is from RefSeq and is a predicted model, not a curated record. Lineage: Eukaryota; Viridiplantae; Streptophyta; Magnoliopsida; Poales; Poaceae. The transcript has 3 exons.